RNAcentral lists this ribosomal RNA (497 nucleotides) under uncultured bacterium. Its description in RNAcentral is "partial 16S ribosomal RNA". It matches the Rfam family "Bacterial small subunit ribosomal RNA", at positions 30 to 507 of the family's 1533-position model. The record is from RNAcentral.
AUGAACGCUGGCGGCGUGCCUAAUACCUGCAGGUCGAGCGAACGGACGAGAAGCUUGCUUCUCUGAUGUUAGCGGCGGACGGGUGAGUAACACGUGGAUAACCUACCUAUAAGACUGGGAUAACUUCGGGAAACCGGAGCUAAUACCGGAUAAUAUUUUGAACCGCAUGGUUCAAAAGUGAAAGACGGUCUUGCUGUCACUUAUAGAUGGAUCCGCGCUGCAUUAGCUAGUUGGUAAGGUAACGGCUUACCAAGGCAACGAUGCAUAGCCGACCUGAGAGGGGGGAGAGACAAAAGGGGACGGAGAACGGGGCCAGGCCCCCGGGGGGAGGCAGAAGAAGGAAAUGUGCGGAAGGGGGGGGAGGCCUGGGGAAGCAACCGGGCGGGAGGAAGAAGGGUCUGCGGAUCGAAAACUUUUUUUAUGGGGGAAAACAAGUGGUGUAAUUACUUGUGCACUGUUGGCGGGUACCUAAUAAAAAAGCAACGGCUAACUACGUG